CAACAGUCAAAUAAUGAAUAAUCGAAUAAUAGUGUAAACCGUAUAUGCAAUUUCGAUUCAGUGAUUUCUGAGUGUGAAUCUUCGGAGUAUUCGUGCUAUCUUGGUAAAUCCUAUUCCUCCUACUGGAGAAAUGCCUCCAAUGAAAAAUCCGAGAAUUCGGAACAGCCUGUUGAACAAGCCGAAGAAUCAACGCCAGGAAAAAGAUCGAAACAAGACGAGACAGAUAAAGUAAAGUUUGAAAAGGCGCAAAAGUUGCUAGAACGAGAUAAUGACGUGGAACGGUUUCGUCGAAGAACAUUGAACGAUGUAGAAAAAUAUGAACUUCUAGCAAAUGUAUGGACACCAGAUGCGUUUUUUGUGUUUCCGGCAUUCGUAAAAAUCUCAAAUUUCAGCUAUCGUGGUUGCAAACAUACCCUUGGCUGUUAUAUUCAGCAGUUGAAGAUGCAACGUAUUGUAAAUCGUGUAUAAUAUUUGCAACAGAGCAAGUUGUGAAAGGCAGCCAUGAAAAUUCAAAGGCGCUCAUCAAAAUUGGUUGGAAAAAUUGGAGAAAGGCUUUAGACAGGUUUAAAGAACAUGCGGCGACAAAGUAUCACGAUGACGCCAACACCGAUGCGCGCAACUUCAAGCUUAUUUAUGAAAACAAGAAGAACCAUGUCAUUACUGACAUAUUACUGACAUUUUUUGACUAUCUAAGCUAUAAGACACAGAAUGAAAUUAUCGAGGCUGGACGAGAGAUAAUUACGAAUGACGAGGUGUUUUGCAGUCACUGUCGAUGAAACGACUUAUAUAAGUGGAAUAGAACAAUUUUCUAUUGGAGUCCGAGGAUGUGACAGGCGCAGGACUGGCUAAUACACUGUUAACAUCGUUGAAAAAACUUGGCAUUGAGAUUCAAUACAUGAAAGGGCAAGGGUGAUUCGCAUUUCAGUGUACUUCAAUGUCAUAAAUAAUUUUCAAAGGAGAAAAUAAUACAAUACUGACGACGAUCUUUGUUGUAGGUUAUGAUUGAGCACGAGCGAUGAGUGGAGAGUUCAAAGGAUGUGCAGCUAUUGUUAAAAAUUAAGGUUUAGAUGCACCUUAUUUUCAUUGUGCAAACCACAAUUUGUCACGCAUGCGACAUUGCACCGAUUCGCAACUGCUUGGGACGGUCAAAAAAGCCGUCAGUUUCUUUCGAAAUUGUAACAAGGCUGGAACAAUUUUAAAGAAAACCAUUCUUGAAUCGAAGACUGGCUCCAAGCAUACUCGUCUUCCGAAAUUUUGCGAAACGCGUUGAAUUGAACACCUCGCAUCACUUAGCCUGUUCUACCAUAGCGUAAGAUUUAUUGAUUCCACUCUGGACGAAAUGGACGAGCUGAAAGUAAAAUCGGAUGGUGUGCGGCCAAAUGAGCUACUUGCUUCUAUUCGAACGCCACAGUUUUACACAGUAGUAAUUUUAUUGGCAGUGCUCAAACCUAUCUUUGGAUUAACUAAAAGUUUGUGUCUCAAUUUAAAAAAAGAAGAUUGUGAUCUAAGUAAAUGCAUUGAAUACGCGAAGGAUGUCCAUGAUGAAAUAAAGGACAUGCCUACAAAGACAGAUGAAACAUUCCGAGAAAUUUUUGAAUCAGCGACACAGAUUGCUCAAUCGAUUGAUACCGUGCUGACGGUUCCUCGACGAGCAGGACGUCAGAAAAAUCGGGACAAAUAUGCUGGAAAUGCUGAAGAGUACUAUUGGCGAUUAAUCUACAUUCCAUUUUUGGAUAAGUACUCUGAAGAGCUUGAAACAAGAUUUUUAAAGCAACGAGAUACAAACAAAAUAUUAUCCCAGCAAAAUGUGCAGAGAUUGAUAAGGUUGAAUUGGACAAGACCAUCUCUGUUUUUAUUUUAUUACAACUCAUUUUAUUUUUCAAUGAUCAUCGAGUGACGACAUUUUUAUCUAGGUGAUCAUUGAAUUAUAUUGUAGCUAUUUAUCUCACGUAGGCCUGAAGCUUGAUUUAGAAGCUCAAGACGUCAACCUUUAUGUCACGAUACCCAUAAAUUAUUUAUCGAAAAAACUGAUUUAU
Long non-coding RNA from Anthonomus grandis grandis, 2036 nucleotides. RefSeq lists it as uncharacterized. The transcript has 3 exons. Lineage: Eukaryota; Metazoa; Arthropoda; Insecta; Coleoptera; Curculionidae. The record is from RefSeq and is a predicted model, not a curated record.